Molecule: ribosomal RNA, 768 nt
Filed under: Staphylococcus aureus
Lineage: Bacteria; Bacillati; Bacillota; Bacilli; Caryophanales; Staphylococcaceae
Description: bacterial SSU rRNA
Rfam family: Bacterial small subunit ribosomal RNA
Source: RNAcentral
GAUGAGCGCUGGCGGCGUGCCUAAUACAUGCAAGUCGAGCGAACGGACGAGAAGCUUGCUUCUCUGAUGUUAGCGGCGGACGGGUGAGUAACACGUGGAUAACCUACCUAUAAGACUGGGAUAACUUCGGGAAACCGGAGCUAAUACCGGAUAAUAUUUUGAACCGCAUGGUUCAAAAGUGAAAGACGGUCUUGCUGUCACUUAUAGAUGGAUCCGCGCUGCAUUAGCUAGUUGGUAAGGUAACGGCUUACCAAGGCAACGAUGCAUAGCCGACCUGAGAGGGUGAUCGGCCACACUGGAACUGAGACACGGUCCAGACUCCUACGGGAGGCAGCAGUAGGGAAUCUUCCGCAAUGGGCGAAAGCCUGACGGAGCAACGCCGCGUGAGUGAUGAAGGUCUUCGGAUCGUAAAACUCUGUUAUUAGGGAAGAACAUAUGUGUAAGUAACUGUGCACAUCUUGACGGUACCUAAUCAGAAAGCCACGGCUAACUACGUGCCAGCAGCCGCGGUAAUACGUAGGUGGCAAGCGUUAUCCGGAAUUAUUGGGCGUAAAGCGCGCGUAGGCGGUUUUUUAAGUCUGGUGUGAAAGCCCACGGCUCAACCGUGGAGGGUCAUUGGAAACUGGAAAACUUGAGUGCAGAAGAGGAAAGUGGAAUUCCAUGUGUAGCGGUGAAAUGCGCAGAGAUAUGGAGGAACACCAGUGGCGAAGGCGACUUUUCUGGGUCUGUAACUGACGCUGAUGUGCGAAAGCGUGGGGAUCAAACAGG